Molecule: transfer RNA, 140 nt
Filed under: Leucobacter edaphi
Lineage: Bacteria; Bacillati; Actinomycetota; Actinomycetes; Micrococcales; Microbacteriaceae
Description: tRNA-Leu
Source: RNAcentral
GCGCGAGUGGCGGAAUUGGCAGACGCGCUGGAUUGAGGUUCCAGUGUCCUCGGACGUGGGGGUUCAGCGGCGCGGUGGCGCCGCCGCGGCGGACGAUCAACGCGACGCGUUGAUCCCCAGCCCGCCGCGCUCCUCGCGCA